Molecule: ribosomal RNA, 253 nt
Filed under: uncultured bacterium
Lineage: Bacteria
Description: partial 16S ribosomal RNA
Rfam family: Bacterial small subunit ribosomal RNA
Source: RNAcentral
UACAUAGGGUCCAAGCGUUAUCCGGAUUUAUUGGGCGUAAAGCGCGCGUAGGUGGUCGAUUAAGUCGGGUGUUAAAUUUGGAAGCUCAACUUCCAUACGCGCCCGAGACUGGUUGGCUUCGAGGUUGGAAGAGGGAAGUGGAACUCACAGUGUAGCGGUGAAAUGCGUAGAUAUUGUGAGGAACACCAGUGGCGAAGGCGACUUCCUGGUCCAAUUCUGACGCUAAAGCGCGAAAGCAUGGGGAGCAAACAGG